UGGGUUUGACAUCCUCUGAUCGCCUAAGAGAUUAGGUUUUCCCUUCGGGGACAGAGUGAC
Molecule: ribosomal RNA, 60 nt
Filed under: uncultured bacterium
Lineage: Bacteria
Description: partial 16S ribosomal RNA
Source: RNAcentral